RNAcentral lists this ribosomal RNA (365 nucleotides) under Prorhinotermes canalifrons. RNAcentral's name for it is "partial 12S ribosomal RNA". Lineage: Eukaryota; Metazoa; Arthropoda; Insecta; Blattodea; Rhinotermitidae. The record is from RNAcentral.
UUUGAAUGUUAAUUUUGUUUGCCUGAGUAGUAUUAGUUAUGUUCUUGAAACUUAAAGAAUUUGGCGGUGCCUUAUAUCUGCUUAGAGGAAUCUGUCUCGUUAUCGAUGGUCCGCGUUGGACCUUACUUAGUUUCUUAUAGGCUUGUAUACCGCCGUUUAUUGAUCAUCUUUUUAGGGUUAUUUAAUUUUCUGGUUUCUUAUUGUUGGGUUUAUUUCAGGUCAAGGUGCAGCUUGUUUCUAAGUGUUGAUGGAUUACACUGGUAUUGUGUGUUGGUUCUGAUUGUUGGGUGGAAUUCCUGGCAUGAGGUUGGAUUUAAUUGUAAUGUUUUGUAGAUUGUUUUCAUGAUAGUGGCCCUGAGGCAUGU